UAUCUCUGUAGAGUCUGCAUAUCAAUAAGCGGAGGAAAAGAAACUAACUAGGAUUCCCUUAGUAACGGCGAGUGAAGCGGGAAGAGCUCAAAUUUGAAAUCUUCAAGGUUCUACCUUGACGAAUUGUAGUUUAAAGAAGUGUUUUCUGUUGGAUGUUUUGGUAAGAGUUCUUUGGAAUAGGACAUCAUAGAGGGUGAGAAUCCCGUAUUUGACCAUUACUUUCCAGCGUUGUGAUACACUUUCAAAGAGUCGGAUUGUUUGGGAAUGCAAUCCAAAAUGGGUGGUAAAUUUCAUCUAAAGCUAAAUACUGGCGAGAGACCGAUAGCGAACAAGUACCGUGAGGGAAAGAUGAAAAGAACUUUGAAAAGAGAGUUAAACAGUACGUGAAAUUGUCAAAAGGGAAGCGUUUGACACCAGUGUUGUUUUCUCGAAAAUCAAUUACAAAAUGCUUGGAUUUUGUAUUGUUAAUGACCUUAUCAGCUUUACUGCUACUCUUUUUUGAUUCUUUCUUAAUGCACUUUUCGUUUAACAAGUCAACAUCAAUUUCUUUUGUUGUAAAAGAGUAUUCGGAAGGUGGCUUUCUUUUCGGAGAAAGUGUUUAUAGCCCUAUACUUCUACAAUCGGAGAGAUUGAGGUCUGCAGCGUAGAUCCUUCGGGGUUAGAUACACUUUGUGCUAAGUUGUAGCUUUUCAUAGACAACUUGUUGACUAUGUUUAGUCUUGCGGCUUACUCGCUUGUGCUAUUUUACCUACGCUUAGGAUGUUGACGAGACUGUCGAUCUC
Molecule: ribosomal RNA, 782 nt
Filed under: uncultured Neocallimastigales
Lineage: Eukaryota; Fungi; Neocallimastigomycota; Neocallimastigomycetes; Neocallimastigales
Description: partial large subunit ribosomal RNA
Rfam family: Eukaryotic large subunit ribosomal RNA
Source: RNAcentral